RNAcentral lists this long non-coding RNA (690 nucleotides) under Bos taurus (domestic cattle). Its description in RNAcentral is "long non-coding RNA NONBTAT023635". The record is from RNAcentral. Lineage: Eukaryota; Metazoa; Chordata; Mammalia; Artiodactyla; Bovidae.
AACCAUUAUUUUAACCACAAAAGAAUAAAUUAAAACCUAGGAUUGUUCAGAGGUUUCUGGUUUAUUUCAAGAUAUUUUCUUUUAAUGUUUGAGUCAAGUUAUCAAAGUUAUGCUUGCUAUUAAAAAAAAAGUUGUAUUCUUAUAAAACAAUAUUUAAAUCUAGGCUGUUGAAACACCAUAGUCAGGCUACUUCUUUUAUGAUUAAAUUAUAAGAUAAGAUAUUCACACAACACAGAAGACUCUUUAAAUUGCCUUAAGAGGGAAAAUUCAAUGUUUUGACAUAUUAUCUACUCUUCAGAUGUUCAACUCUUGCCAAGGCAAGUUUAAUGCCCAGGCCUUCUCAUUUUUUGGUACAGCUAUCCUCCUGGAUUGUUUUCCAACCAGCUACUCAAAAGUCGUAUUGCUAUUUUAGCAAAUUACUUUUUCUUUGUUAAUUAUCUGCUUUAUACAUUCAUCUCCAAGAGGGAAAGAACUAGUUUAUUCAUCUUCCAAUCAAUGAAGCUUAAUAAAGUGCUCUGUGUAUAGCAAGCAUAUAGACACAGAAAAUCUGCCAGAUGGCUGCAAAAAACAAACGGGCUAAAUUUUACUUCGUGUAUUUCAAAAUUCAGAGAAAAACAGUACUCUUAAAAGGCAUAGACCAAAAAUAGAUCAUUGCAGAUUGAGUACAAAGAACCAUUCUAUUUCUUCAUC